This 255-nucleotide ribosomal RNA is filed under the name uncultured soil bacterium. Its description in RNAcentral is "partial 16S ribosomal RNA". It matches the Rfam family "Bacterial small subunit ribosomal RNA", at positions 26 to 286 of the family's 1533-position model. The record is from RNAcentral.
AGGACGAACGCUGGCGGCGUGCUUAACACAUGCAAGUCGAGCGGAAAGGCCCUUCGGGGUACUCGAGCGGCGAACGGGUGAGUAACACGUGGGCAACCUGCCCCUAGCUCUGGGAUAACUCCGGGAAACCGGGGCUAAUACCGGAUACGACCUCGGACGGCAUCUUCUGAGGUGGAAAGUUUUUUCGGCUAGGGAUGGGCCCGCGGCCUAUCAGCUUGUUGGUGGGUCACGGCCCACCAAGGCGACGACGGGUAG